This 256-nucleotide ribosomal RNA is filed under the name Escherichia coli. RNAcentral's name for it is "partial 23S ribosomal RNA". It matches the Rfam family "Bacterial large subunit ribosomal RNA", at positions 1419 to 1677 of the family's 2925-position model. RNAcentral also lists the same sequence under 1 other name. The record is from RNAcentral. Lineage: Bacteria; Pseudomonadati; Pseudomonadota; Gammaproteobacteria; Enterobacterales; Enterobacteriaceae.
UGGGAAACAGGUUAAUAUUCCUGUACUUGGUGUUACUGCGAAGGGGGGACGGAGAAGGCUAUGUUGGCCGGGCGACGGUUGUCCCGGUUUAAGCGUGUAGGCUGGUUUUCCAGGCAAAUCCGGAAAAUCAAGGCUGAGGCGUGAUGACGAGGCACUACGGUGCUGAAGCAACAAAUGCCCUGCUUCCAGGAAAAGCCUCUAAGCAUCAGGUAACAUCAAAUCGUACCCCAAACCGACACAGGUGGUCAGGUAGAGA